Molecule: small nucleolar RNA, 107 nt
Organism: Dioscorea cayenensis subsp. rotundata (Guinea yam)
Lineage: Eukaryota; Viridiplantae; Streptophyta; Magnoliopsida; Dioscoreales; Dioscoreaceae
Source: RefSeq, a predicted model, not a curated record
AACCCAUGCUGAGAGUAUUUCUGCAGGAGAUCCUUGAACCUAUCCCAUUUCUCAAAAAGAAACUCCAAUUAUAUUUGCAGAAAAAAGGAUAUUUUAUUCUUGAACUU